AUUACUACCUGCAUCUGCGUAUAUAUUUUGUUAGAAACAGCAGGGGAACCUUAGGUUUGCUCAUUUCUUUAACUACAUGAGCAAGUGACAGUUUGGGCUUUAGAGUUUAGGCUUAGAUAGGGAUCCAAUUCUUAUCAGUAACCCUGAGGAGAAAAAGUCACUUAUUCUUCCCUAAACCUAGUUGUUUUUGUUUUUAAUUUUCCAAAAGAAUGAGAUAAUGGUUCUUUUUAUAAUGUUGUUUUUAUGGUAGCGUGAAGAUGAAGUAUAUGAACUAUAUUGGUGCCAGACAGAUAAAUGCCUUAACAGGAUGUGUCACCAGCACAAGCAACAGGAAACUAGAUUGACAGAGACUUCAGCCACAAGGAUGUUCAUCAUGUAGCAAACAAGUUCUGGAGAUAGGUGGUUCCAGAGUUCAGUGGCAGCCAAAACGUCAUCAGGAUUUUCCUGGAACCAUUUGCUCUGCCGUCCUCAGUGUUACAGAAUGGUUACUUCAACUCUCAACAUUAUUUCUUAAAAUGACAGUGUCCAAAACUGUGUAGGUCCAUUUUUUUGGUUGCUGUCACCAGGGACCAUUCUUCUACCACUUGAACUCUUGGAGGAAACCACAUCCAAACCAAAAAGCAAAGCAGUAAGCAAUGGGCAGCAGUCAGGGAUCUUUGCCAUCGCUCUGCUCAUAGAGGGUAGUUUUAGAAGCCCCAUAGAUUUGCCCAAGUCUUCAUAGGGCUGAGCUAUAUAUCUGCCCUGGGACCAGGCACUGGCAAAGGAAAAAGAGUAGACCAGUUUAUUUCCUUCUAUACUGUGGCCUGUGAGAUGGGAUUUUGUUAGAAGGGAAAAACAAACUGUCAGUUAGGUAGCUAAUCUAUAAUAGUUGCCACCAUGUUUUAAAAAGUAUUGUAGAUAGAUUGGGAGGCUGAGCCAGGAGGAUCACAAGUUCGAACCUCAGCAACUUAGCAAGACUCAAUAUUAAAAAAAAAAAAAAAUUGUAGCACAGCAUUGUGGCAUACACUUGUAACCCCAGCUACCUGGGAAGCUGAGGCAGAAGGAUCACAAGUUUAAGACUAGCCUCAGCAUCUUAGACCCUGUCACAAAAUAAAAAAGGCUGGGAAUCUAGUUCAAUGGUAAAACACCCCUGGGCUUUAUCAUUCCCAGUACCACAAAUAAAAUAAUAAAAAUAAAUAUUAAAAAAAUAGUGUAGUAAAAUCAAAAGAUUAUAUCUAGGUAGAAUUUUUAAUAUUCAGUCACUUUUUAUUCUGCUAAAUAAAC
Molecule: long non-coding RNA, 1263 nt
Filed under: Marmota monax (woodchuck)
Lineage: Eukaryota; Metazoa; Chordata; Mammalia; Rodentia; Sciuridae
Source: RNAcentral